This is a non-coding RNA of Oncorhynchus gorbuscha (pink salmon), 74 nucleotides long. The record is from the annotation of a RefSeq genome assembly. Lineage: Eukaryota; Metazoa; Chordata; Actinopteri; Salmoniformes; Salmonidae.
GUUUCUGUAGUGUAGUGGUUAUCACGUUUGCUUAACACGCAAAAGGUCCCUGGUUCGAAACCGGGGCGGAAACA